UACGUAGGAGGCGAGCGUUGUCCGGAUUUACUGGGCGUAAAGGGCGUGUAGGCGGUAGCGCAAGUUGGGUGUGAAAGCCCCUGGCUUAACCAGGGAGGGUCAUCCGAUACUGCGCUGCUUGAGGGCAGCAGAGGAAAGUGGAAUUCCAGGUGUAGUGGUGAAAUGCGUAGAUAUCUGGAGGAACACCGGUGGCGAAGGCGGCUUUCUGGGCUGUACCUGACGCUGAGGCGCGAAAGCGUGGGGAGCGAACUGG
Molecule: ribosomal RNA, 253 nt
Filed under: uncultured bacterium
Lineage: Bacteria
Description: partial 16S ribosomal RNA
Rfam family: Bacterial small subunit ribosomal RNA
Source: RNAcentral